Molecule: long non-coding RNA, 1015 nt
Organism: Juglans microcarpa x Juglans regia
Lineage: Eukaryota; Viridiplantae; Streptophyta; Magnoliopsida; Fagales; Juglandaceae
Exons: 2
Source: RefSeq, a predicted model, not a curated record
UUCAGCAACUCUUUUUUUAACAAAAAAAUAAUAGUAUGCUUUUAACAUCAUGUUUAUUUUAACUUUAGCGGUCCUGCUCACUUUUCUCAUCGUUUAUGUAUAAAAUUUGAGUUUUGAAAUUUUAUUUAAGGUUGUCAUUUCCUCCUCAAAUGUUCACGUUUUUAAUGUUCAUGCUGUGUUACUUGGCGAGUCUCAAUUUAAGUACAGAUAAACAAAGUGAAGGAACGGGGACCAGAAGUUAUAGUUGCUAAUGAAGACAAAAGAAACUGCAGAAAACAACAAAGAAGUCUUCAUGUUAUCCAUAUUCAAGAUCUAAUCCCCUAUUGUAUGGUCCACUAAUAAUUUGGGAGAUAAAACGUCAUAUAAUUGGUGGUUGAAAUGCUUGAAAUGGGAGAGUUUCUGGAGCCACGUGUCAGAUUGUGAAUGGUCAGAGAUUGUUGGCUCUAACGAAUAAGGCUUUGGCAGGAUAGUAUUGUGUUUUGCACAAUCUUGUUUCAGGCAUUAUCCUCCCAAGCUCGCCUCUUAUCUGCCACAUAGUUGUUGGAGAAGCAUGAUCAUGAUCAGUUACAGGUAGAUAAUGCAGAAAGUAAUUCAGUAUUCAGUGAAAGAGAAAUGGUGAAGUGAAUUGCUACCGGCAUUGGCGGAUUCUUUUCAACAGUGCUAUUUAAUGGGAUAAUGAGUUUUAGUUCAUCAUCAACCGGGUCAUCAUCAAAUUGGCUGUCUUGCCACCAGACUGAGCCUCUUCCAUCAAUAAUGCCCUUUCCCUGGAUGGUAAUUCCUCUUAGCUUUGUGAACUCGAGCCAUUGUAGCAGACCUCUGCCCCAAGCUUUAGAGUUUGUGGGAGCAAUGACCGUACCAUCCAGCUGAGAAAAUGUUAACUAAUUCAUCAAUCUUUGUCAUGCAUUUUAUUAGGUGGUAAUACAAGACCGGCCCAUUAUAAAGGCCCAAAUCAUUUCACUGUAAAAAGACCCCGUGUCUCUAUCAGGUUUCUCCUUGCAAUGCUAGAGAAAGUUAC